RNAcentral lists this long non-coding RNA (7921 nucleotides) under Carica papaya (papaya). RNAcentral describes it as "long non-coding RNA (CPAP_LNC008672)". The record is from RNAcentral. Lineage: Eukaryota; Viridiplantae; Streptophyta; Magnoliopsida; Brassicales; Caricaceae.
GAAAUAAGUGCAUGGAACUCCUCAAAACCCUGUCGUCAGUAUGGUAUAUGACAAUAUUCAUUUGUCUCCCCCAUGCGAUCCAUUCUCUCCUUCUUUUAGUUAAUGGGUUUUGGUCUUGUAUUAUUCUAGACGUGUUUUGUGAUAUAAAUUUCAAGUUCGACUCUUGUUCAAACUGUAUUUAAUGCCUUUAUAUAACAAAAAAGUAUAUAUACUAUUCAGAAAAAAAAAAACAUAUAUGCCAUACAGAUUGUGUAGUUCAUAUAAUAUAAUAGAUAAUAUAAUACUGUAUACGAAAAGAGUCCUACACUCAUCCCUAUUUCGAAAAGACAGAUCUGCUACUAAAAUAAUAAGAGAGAUUUUGGGAAUACUUGUUUGAUCAUCAGCAUCUUCCCCUUCUUUCAUAGCAUAUAAAUAUAUAUAUAUAUAUUCCUUUUUAUAUCUCUCUGCCUCUCUCUCUCUCUCUCUAUAUAUAUAUAUAGACUCGUUUCUAGCAUUUAAUAUCUACAUAUGUAUGUACAUAUGUAUGCUUCUUCUCAUUUUAUCCGUCAUCCUAUGAUGAUACUAUUAUCACAAGGAACGGUACAGCCGGUUAUAUACAUGUCUGCAUAUAUAUAUAUAUAUGCAUAUAUAUCGUGCACCAGUAGCAGUUGAAGCUGCCAGCAUGAUCUAAACUUUCCUUCCACUCUCAAGGAUUGAUCGGAUCAUGUGGUAGCUUCACCUGUUCAUGGGAUCACGAAACCCUAGUUUACUUCCAAUCCUCACUACUUACAUAUAUCUGUACAUAUGUAUAAAAUACAUGAUACACAAUUUUCUCGUAUAUAUAUAUGGAUUCUGUCUUCCCCAUCUUCUAAUUCUUCUUAUUACUUCACCGCAUGUUUUAUUCUUUUUACAAUCUUGAUGAUUCUUGUUUCUUCUUUCUUUCAACUAUUAGGUGAUAUGAUAGCGUUGGUUAGUCAAUCUAGAAUAUUGGUAUAUACAUAUAUAUGUGUAUAUGUAUAUGAUAGGUAUGUAUGUAUUUUCAAAUCUUAGGAUAUUCACAAGAUCUCUAGGAUAUAUAUAUAUAUAUAUAUAUAUGCACGGAGAUUUUGUUUCUUUUCUUUUCCUCUCUCUCUCUCUCUCUCAUAUGUAUACAUAUACACAUAUAUAUACACAACAGAUAUAUAUAUAUAUAUGUAUGCUUGUGUAUGUUUGUGCAGGUAUGGAAGAUUAGGGGUCUCUCGGAAAAGAAAAGUUUACAAGGGUCUCUUUCCAUAAAAAGAAAAGUUUCAGGGGUCUCUCUGAAAAUGAAGAGACAAAACGGUGCGUUUAGCCAAUUUCCGGUUCAUAUCAUCUUCUUAUUUCCCCGCUUCAUUUCAGAGUAACGGUUCUCUCUCAUCUGUAUAAUGGAAAAGCAUUCUACAUUUGGCUGGACGGAAUUCUUUCUUUCUUGUUGAAAAUUACAUCUGCAUCAUGGCCAGAAUGGAUAGCUAUUACGAGGUACGCUGCGAUCCUCGCGAAACUCUGUUGCUUAUUAUUGUGAGUUCAUCAAUGUCUGGUUGUUUUCACUUAGAUCUAAAUGGUAAAUGCAAUGUCCGGCAUGUUGUAUGUCAGGUUUCGUUUCUUCCUCCCUAUAUGAAAUGGCGUUCCAUACAUUGUUCUUUUUUUCGAUAUACUUUCUUUUACUACAGAGAUUUUGAUAAUUUCUUGGCUUAUCUCCACCAUGAAGUACUGUCUCUCUGUUGGACGCAUAUGCAUUUUGUUUGCGAACUUGAUGCUGAAUAUCAAAUAAGCUUGUGAUUGGCCUCAAUUUUUGAAAGCUCUCUUUACGGCUUAUGUCCGUUAAGAAGCUAUUUUCUUGGUGCGGAGACAGAACAGAAAUUCGUGGUGAAUGUGCCAGAAUAUGAUUUUCCUUCUACCUCUGUGAUGAUCAUAAAUUAGAGCAACAAUAAAUCCAAAAUGAUACUAUAGGAAGGAAGUAGAAGGAAUCAACGAAUUGAUAAUUAUAUAAAUCCCACUAAUUCAUACUGUAGUGAGUAUACAGUCAUGUUUAUUUGAUUUAUUGCAUACAAAUAUCAUGCAGCUUAGAAAUUAGGAACUACGUACAUGUAAUAUAUAAUGUUACACUUAAAUCCAAUACAUACGAAACUCACUCAAGCGUGUUUCUGUUACAAUCCCCACAGUAAAAAUUAAGGGAGAGAUAGCUGGACAAGUAGAGGAAAGUUAAGGGGAGAGAGCUGGACAAUUAGAGGAAAAUUAAGAAGGAGAUAGCUGGACAAUUCUCAGCUUACUUUGCUGAGAUGAAAGGUUUCUAAUUAUAAAACUUUGCAACCAAUAAAGACUUUACAGGUGUUCCAAUAAAGGAACUACAGCUGUUAACAAAAAGAAAAUUCGUUAAAAUAAAUUUUUAUUUGCUACAAGGCUGUGCAGAUUGCAGAUUUUUGUCCUAUGCAGGUUGCAGGUGCAGGUUGAGGAUUUUGUGCUGUUCCUUUGGCUGUUUCUUGUCCUAUGCAGGUUGCAGGUUGCAGGUUGCAGGUUGCAGGUUUUUGUCCUAUUCAGGUUGCAGUUGCAGGUUGAAGAUUUUGUGCUGCUGGUGUUUUGUUCUGCAGAAUUACAUGAUGUGGUGUUCUCUUGGUUGUUUCUUGACAGCUGGUCACAACAUUAUUCUUGACAUCCCCCUUCAAGCUUGGCAGUGGGAGAGGUCUUUCUUCCACUCCAAGUUUGCUUCUUGAAUGACAAAAUUGGGCACCAACUUGAGCUUUUGUUAAACAAUCCGCAAUUUGAUCUUGAGAAGGGACAUACCUCACUUCAAGUUUUCUGUCAGGAACUUUAUCCCGUAUAAAAUGAAUGUCAACUUCUAUGUGCUUGGUUCUUGCAUGAAAAACUGGAUUACUUGCUAGUUGACUUGCACUCAUGUUAUCACACCCAGUAAUAGGAGUUGCUGAAAGAGAAAUAGAUAACUCUGCAAGUAGUGAUUCUAACCAUGAAAUUUCGCAGGAGACAUGAGCUAAGGACCGGUAUUCUGAUUCAGCACUGGAUCUUGCCACCACAUGUUGCUUUUUAGAGCUCCAGGAAAUUAAACUUGAGCCAAAAUACACACAAUAACCAGCUGUCGAUCUCCUGUCAUCCCUGUUACAUGCCCAGUCUGCAUCUGAGAACCCUGUAAGAGUGUAGCUGUUACAUGGCUGUACAGGAGACAUGAGCUAAGGACCGGUAUUCUGAUUCAGCACUGGAUCUUGCCACCACAUGUUGGUUUUUAGAGCUCCAGGAAAUUAAACUUGAGCCAAAAUACACACAAUAAUCAGCUGUCGAUCUCCUGUCAUCCCUGUUACAUGCCCAGUCUGCAUCUGAGAACCCUGUAAGAGUGUAGCUGUUACAUGGCUGUAUAUGAAGACCAAAUUCUUUGGUUCCCUUCAGAUAUCUUAAAACUCUCUUGACUGCAUUCAUGUGCUUAGUUGUAGGCUGUUGCAAAAUUUAACUUGGUUUAUUGAUGAUAAAGGCAAUAUCUGGCCUGGUGUGAGUUAAAUAUUGCAAGGAACCAAUGAUUUUUCUGUAUGAUGUUGGAUUUUUGAGUGGUUCUUCUUCCUGAGCAGUUUGUGCGGCAUUAAGAAUGGCAGGUGUAGAGCAUGGUUUAGAGUUUUCCAUAUCUGCUCUCUUAAGCAGUUCUUCAAUAUACUUUGUUUGAGUUAGAUAAAAUCCUGUAUCAUCCCUUGUUACCUCAAUUCCGAGAAAAAGAUGCAGUGAGGCUAAGUCUUUCAAGGCAAAUAAUUUGUCUAGUUCUUGCACAAACCGUUUAAGUGAGGUAGGAUUGUUACCUGUUAGGAUCAAAUUAUCAACAUAUAUAAGCACAAAUCACUUACCAUUUUUUGGAUUGUGGAAGAAAAGAAAUGUGAGGGCUUUUGAGGGCAUUGAAACUAAUAUUGUAAAUAUUAAAAAUAUGUGAUUUCAUACUUUUGGGUCUAUCUUGUUAAGUCAUUAUGUGAAAGAGUGGGAAGACAUAGGUUUAGUUCUGGACUACUCGAUAGAUUUGUAACUAUUUUGUAUUCGAGUGGUACUCAUUUGGUACCUUUAUGAAUAAUAUUACUCUCUUUUAUUUCAAAAAAAAAAAAAGCACAAACAUAAUUUCACCUUUGUUUUUCAAAAUGAAGAGUGAGGAGUCACAUUUUGAGUUCCUGAAGUCCUCCCAAUUUAGCAAGGUUUUCCUGAACUUCUCAAACCAGGCCCGAAGUGCCUGUUUUAAGCCAUAUAAGGCUUUAUUAAGCUUGCAAACAUAGUUGAUAGUUUAUUUUUCUUCAAGCCCUUCAGGUUGCUGCAUAUACACUACCUCUUGUAGAUCACCACUGAGAAAAACAUUAUUUAUAUCAAGUUGUCUGACCACCCAAUUUUCUGUUACAACAAUAAUAAGGAUAACUCUAAUGGUCGAGGCUUUAACUACAGGACUGAAGGUCUUGCCAUAAUCAAUUCCUGCAUUCUGAUGGAACUCCUUUGCUACUAACCUUGCUUCGCAUCUGUGGAAACUGCCAUCUAUAAUUUUUCUUAACUCUGAAUACCCAUUUGCUGCCAACAAUAUUCAUUGAAGGUGUGCGUAGAACUAGAGACCAGGUGUUGUUUAGCUUUAAUGCUUUCAAUUCUUCUUCCAUAGCUGAUUUCCAGUGUUUAGAAUUCAAUGCCUCAUUAAUUGAGAUAGGUUCAGUUGGCAUUGGUUCUGAACACUUUGCAAGAUAUAGUUGAAAGUCUGAAGAAAACUGCUUAGGCUUGUGAAUUCCAGCCUUAGCCCUUGUUGUCAUUCUAUGAGCAUAACCUUCUUCCUGUUGUGAUUCUUGUUGUUGGAUUUCAAUAGGUCGUUGAUGCAUUUUAGACUCAUUUGUUUCAGCUUCUUUUGCUUGAUCAUCUACAUAGCCUGGUACUUCACCAAAGUCAGAUUGUUGGGGAUCAAAUCCUCCUUCAGCUGAUAACCUCAUAUCAUAAUUCUCAGGUUGUAAUGUUCUGGACUUAGCUUCCUGAACUUGCUUUACUGCAAUAGAAACAUCUUGAGAGUUUGUAUCAAAUAAAUAAGUGUUAGGUGCUAGAUUUAUGUCAGAUAUCUCAGUGGUAGAGGUGAGCCAAUAGGGUGUUGUAACUAAGGUUUGAAUUUCUGGUGUUUUUGUGUUUAGAAAGUUGGUAUGAAAUGGGAAGUGUUUUUCAUUGAAGACAACAUGCCUUGAAAUGUAAAAUUUUCCAGUGGAACUGAGGCACUUAUAUCCUUUGUGAGAGCUACUGUAGCCAAGAAAAACCCACUUUGUGGAGUGGUAUUGAAACUUUUGUGUCUGAUAGGGUCUUAAGUAGGGAAAACAAGCACAACCAAAGAUUUUCAGGGACUUAUAGUUUGGUUUCUUAUUCUGAAGUUUUUCCAGAGGACACAUGUUAUCUAACACAGGUGUGAGAAGUCUAUUAAUUAAGAAUAUUGCUGUAAGGAAAGCCUUAGGUCAAUAUUUUAGAGGAACCUUAGAUUGUGCUAAUAAAGUGAGACAUGUUUCAACUAUAUGUCUAUGCUUUCUUUCGGCUCUUCCAUUUUGAGCAGAUGUGCGAGGACAAGAAUAUUGAGUUUUGAUUCUAUGCAUUUGUUGGAAACUAGCAAGUCCUAAAUACUCUCCUCCCAUAUCUGAUUUUCUUAUCAAACUGGUUCUCAACUAGUGUUUUGAAAUUUUGGAAAACUCAUGCUAUAUCUGAUUUCUGUUUUAAGGGAAAUAACCAGGUAAACCUACUGUAAUCAUCUAGAAAUAGCACAUAAUAUUUGAAUCCACAUGCUGAGACAACAGGAAAAGGCCCCCUUAUAUCUGUGUGAAUUAGUUCAAGGGGUUGAGUAGAGUGAGAUGAUGAUAGAGUAAAAGGAAGUAAAUGAGACUUGCCAAGUUGACAGUCAUCACAGAAAAACUCACUUUCAUUGAUAGAAGGUUUUUGAUUACAGGUUUCAAGAACCUUAACUAGAGUUCUAAAGGAGGGGUGUCCUAAUCUCUUGUGCCACAUUUCCAUCUGCUUUACAUUUUCAGGCUUGUUUGAUAGGUUAAAAACAAAGGCUUGGUGAGAGUGUUGUUUGAGUUUUACUUUUGAUUGCUGGACUGGUUCAAUCUGAUACAAUCCUUCCUUAUGUUUCCCUUGUAGCAGAGUUUUAUCUGUUGCCUUGUCCUUCACAAAAGAACCAAAAGAGUUAAAUUUAACAUCAACAUCAUUUGAAGUGGUGAGUUUUGACACACUAGUCAAAUUUUUCUCAAUGUCAGGAACAUGUAAGUUUCUUUGAGUAUCAAGCAUUUUCUUUUUUCUACGGACAAUUUAACUAAUCCAAUAUGAUAAAUGUUAAGUUUCUCACUGUUCCCCACAGUUAGAGUUUCUUUACCGUGGUAUUCUUGUUUAUUUUGCAUAUUGUUAGCAUCAUUUGUAACAUGGCUACUUGCACCACUGUCCAUGUACCAAGCCGGAUAUUGGACUCUAAGAACACAGAGUGUUGGUGUUGAUUCUUGUUGUGUGAAUCUGGUAAUGCUCCCAUAUAAUUCUUGUCAAACGUGUAAAAACAAACUGCUGCAGUAUGUCCAAUUUUGCCACAUACUUGAACAAAGGUCUAUUAUUUCCACCAUGUUUAUUGCCCCUUCCUCUAAAAGUUCUUCCUCCUCUGUAGUUGUUUCCAAAUCUACCUCCAGAGUGGUAUUGAUUCUGGUUCUUGUUGCUGGGAUUGUUACUCUUCACAUAAUGAGCUGCUGGGUUGCCAAGAUUGAUUGUAGUUAUGCCUGCAUUCAGUUGCUGAAGUCUCCUUUCGUAACUCAGAAGUUUUGAUUGUAGUUCGACUCAGCUAAUAUCAUCUUUUUCUGUAAUCUGGCAUACCAGGGGGUUAUACUCUUGUGAAUCCAAACCAGCGGGAAUUUGAGUGACUAAAUCAUCAAGAGAGACAGGAUGACCAGCUAGUGCCAAGUUAUCAGCAUGACCUUUCAUAGCUUUCAAAUAUUCUUCCAUUUUCAAAUUUCCUUUCUGCAUUUUGGCAAACUCUCGUUUGUAGAACACCGCAUUGGAUCUUGUUUUUACACCAAACAGCUCAUUCGUUGCAUUCCAUAGCUUUCUUGAAGUGUCAUACCCCAUUAGCUCAGAGGCUACAGUGGGUUCGAUGGUGUUAUAUAACCAGCCUAAAAGCAUUUGAUCUUGAGCAUACCAAUCUUCAUAUUCUGGAUUUGAGGUUACUUGCAAGGUUUCUGAGUCUUGUACUGUCUUUUCAUUAAAUUCUGGUGGGCAGAUCUUUACUCCAGUGAAGUAGCCUUCUAGCUUGUUUCCUCUUAUCAUAGACAGCACGAUAUUCUUCCAUAAGAGAAAGUUAUCAUGGUUCAACUUAACCAUGGAAUAAGAGCCAGUUGGGUUUGCUGAUAUAUUUAAGGUCUUGACUGCUGCUACUCCUCCAGUAGUAUUGUCCGCAUAGGUUUUGUCUCCAUCAAUGGCAGAGCUUACACUAUUGCUGCUGGACAUGACUAACUCUGAUACCAAGUAAAAAAUAAGGGAGAGAUAGCUGGACAAUUCUCAGCUUGCUUUCCUGAGAUGAAAAGUUUUUAAUUUAUAAAAAUUUGCAACCAAUCAAGACUUUUUACAGAUGUUCCAAUAAAGGAACUACAGCUGUUAACAAAAAGAAAAUUCGUUACAAUAAAUUUUUAUCUGCUACAAGGCUGUGCAGAUUGCAGGUUUUUGUCCUAUGCAGGUUGCAGGUGCAGGUUGAGGAUUUUGUGCUGUUCCCUUGGCUGUUUCUUGUCCUAUUCAGGUUGCAGAUUUUUGUCCUAUGCAGGUUGCCGUUGCAGGUUGAGGAUUUUGUGCUUGCUGGUGUUCUGUUCUGCAGGAUUAUGUGAUGUGGUGUUCUCUUGGUUGUUUCUUGACAGCUGAUCACAGCAUUAUUCUUGACACCCACCAUCUGAGGUUGUUGCAUUUUCCCCUUCAA